This 209-nucleotide long non-coding RNA is filed under the name Anser brachyrhynchus (Pink-footed goose). RNAcentral's name for it is "lncRNA (ENSABRG00000001547.1)". Lineage: Eukaryota; Metazoa; Chordata; Aves; Anseriformes; Anatidae. The record is from RNAcentral.
AUUUGAAGAAGGACCCCAGAAGGACUGGCAAACUUCAGGGGCCCAGCUUUCAGAAAUUGCUGACAGCUUUUGAAAGGAAAGAUUCUUCUGAAUGUGGCAUGAUGAAUAUGCACAAAAGCAUAUGACAAGAAUAAAAGAUCUUUGGUUUCAAUGAUGGAAGGAACUGCUAGCAGAGAUGCAGAUCUUUUUCUUGGAGUGCAAUUAAUUAA